Salvia miltiorrhiza (redroot sage) is the source of this 527-nucleotide long non-coding RNA. RefSeq lists it as uncharacterized. NCBI's taxonomy places the organism in Eukaryota, Viridiplantae, Streptophyta, Magnoliopsida, Lamiales, Lamiaceae. The transcript is spliced from 2 exons. The record is from RefSeq and is a predicted model, not a curated record.
UCUGACCAAACGAUCUCACCUCACAUAACAUCUCUUCCAAACCAGUAGCUGCUCGAUAUCUCCGAUAAGCGGCGGCGGUGGUGGUGGAGGGAAGAUGAAAAAGGGAGAGAAGAGUCGUCGGAAGCGUUCGGGUUGGGAGUGAUGGGAAAGGCUUCCUUCUGCUACGGGAAAUUCCUUUCCUAUUCCUCCCAUACCGAAGGUUUCCGAUCUAUCCUCCCCUUUCCUUCCUACUUCUUCCUCUUCUUUGAAAUUGUAUCUAGUAUUAGAUCUGCUCUUGUUUCUCCAUUUCCCGUGCUACUUAGUUUUUUGGAGAACAAGGGCUGGGCGAACACCAUUUGAUUAUGAAGAUCGCUUUCAUUUGGUGAAAGAUACAAAUUAUUCUAAAUAAUUUGCAUAUUCAACUUUGCCCUUUACUGUUGUCCUUAGUGAUGGAAGAAUAUAGUUUUUUUAUAUAUAUUUUUCAAAUGAAUCUUUUAAGGGGACUAUGUUUUUAGCUCGUUAUUUGAAGCAUGUUCUUUUCUUUUGUC